CUGUGUGUGUGUGUGUGUGUGUGUGUGUUAGCUUUUCACUGUUAUGACAAAGUACCUGCGAAAAUCAACUUAAAAGAGGAAAGAUUUAUUUUGGCUCACAGUUUCAAAGGUUUCAUUUUAUUAUCAACUGGUUCCAUUGUUUCUGGGUCAUGGUGAAACAAUGUAUCACUAUAGAAGGGUGUGAUGGAACAAAGCUGCCCACUUUAUAGCAGGAAGGGGGGCCAGGGACAAGUUAUAGGACCUCAAGGUCCCUCUCCCUUCAACUAAGUCCCAUUUCAUUUUCACCUCUUCCCAGUAGUCAACUCAAAUUAUGAAUCCUUCAAUGGAUUAAUCCACUGAUGAGGUCAGAGUCCUCAUGAUCUAAUCACUUCUAAAAGUCCUGACUCUUAACAUUGCUGCACUGGGGACCAGCCUUUCAACACACAAGAUUUUAAGGGAUAUUCCAA
This 446-nucleotide long non-coding RNA is filed under the name Marmota monax (woodchuck). Lineage: Eukaryota; Metazoa; Chordata; Mammalia; Rodentia; Sciuridae. The record is from RNAcentral.